AGUGAACGCUGGCGGUAGGCCUAACACAUGCAAGUCGAACGGCAGCACAGUCUGAGCUUUGCCUUCCGGGGGCCGAGUGGUGGGCAAGUCAGGAGUACCUGGGCAUCUACUGUUUAGAAGGGGGUGACGCAGGGAAACAUACGCCAUUCCAGCUUACGACGUACGCGUGAGAGCGGGGGAUCUUCGGCCAUUGCGCGAUCGGAUGUGCCGAUGUCGGAUUAGCUAGUUGGCGGGGUAAAGGCCCACCAAGGCGACGAUCGGUAGCUGGUCUGAGAGGAUGAUCAGCCACACUGGAACUGAGACACGGUCCAGACUCCUACGGGAGGCAGCAGUGGGGAAUAUUGGACAAUGGGCGCAAGCCUGAUCUAGCCAUGCCGCGUGGGUGAAGAAGGCCUUCGGGUUGUAAAGCCCUUUUGUUGGGGAAGAAAAGGAGCAGGUUAAUACCCCGCGGGUCUGACGGUACCCGAAGAAUAAGCACCGGCUAACUUCGUG
RNAcentral lists this ribosomal RNA (492 nucleotides) under uncultured bacterium. RNAcentral's name for it is "partial 16S ribosomal RNA". It matches the Rfam family "Bacterial small subunit ribosomal RNA", at positions 29 to 507 of the family's 1533-position model. The record is from RNAcentral.